AUGUUACCGUGACCUAAACCUCUUCCCUAUCUCCCUCUCGCGUGGCGUCGGCCUCCGCUCGGGCGGAAGACAAAGAGAAGCUGGGACUUCUCUCCGGCGAUCGGCCUAGGGUGUUCUCCGAGGGGUUUCUCCACCAUCAUGUUUCUCUCGUCGAGGAGGAUCUGUGGGCGCAAGAAGAGGCCGAAAACUCGAGCUAACCGAAACCCUAGAAGUUCUUCUCGUUCGGUUGUGAGUUCAAGAAGCAAGAUAAAGGAAAGGAAAAGUUAUAGCAAAGGAAGGCGACAAGGAGGUGCGGAUGGAUGUGUGAUGCUUGGACUAUAGAAGCCUUGGGACUCAGUUUAAAAAUUUAUUAAGAUAGCAAUUUAUUCAUGUUGAUGAUUUUAUUAUCAGAGUGACUUUAUGUAUUUUAGAAUUCCUUCUUUUAAUUGCCAUGUACAAUAGUUCCAUUGUUUGAAGUUGAGUAUUAUUGCCUGCAUGAUCUGAUUAUUAGAUA
Long non-coding RNA from Zingiber officinale, 493 nucleotides. RefSeq lists it as uncharacterized. The record is from RefSeq and is a predicted model, not a curated record. The transcript has 2 exons. Lineage: Eukaryota; Viridiplantae; Streptophyta; Magnoliopsida; Zingiberales; Zingiberaceae.